CGGGAAGAGCUCAAAUUUAAAAUCUGGCGUGCCUCUGGUCGUCCGAAUUGUAGUCUGAAGAAGCGUCUUCUGUGUUGGACCGUGUACAAGUCUCUUGGAACAGGGCGUCAUAGAGGGUGAG
This 121-nucleotide ribosomal RNA is filed under the name Tomentella sp. RNAcentral describes it as "partial large subunit ribosomal RNA". The record is from RNAcentral. Lineage: Eukaryota; Fungi; Basidiomycota; Agaricomycetes; Thelephorales; Thelephoraceae.